RNAcentral lists this ribosomal RNA (352 nucleotides) under uncultured bacterium. RNAcentral describes it as "bacterial SSU rRNA". It matches the Rfam family "Bacterial small subunit ribosomal RNA", at positions 28 to 376 of the family's 1533-position model. The record is from RNAcentral.
GAUGAACGCUAGCGGCAGGCUUAAUACAUGCAAGUCGAGGGGCAGCAGGGUGUAGCAAUACAUCGCUGGCGACCGGCAAACGGGUGCGGAACACGUACACAACUUUCCUUUAAGUGGGGGAUAGCCCAGAGAAAUUUGGAUUAAUACCCCGUAAUAUUAUGAAGUGGCAUCAUUUUAUAAUUAUAGCUCCGGCGCUUGAAGAUGGGUGUGCGGCUGAUUAGGUAGNGGCGGGGUAACGGCCCACCAAGCCUACGAUCAGCAACUGGUGUGAGAGCACGACCAGUCACACGGGCACUGAGACACGGGCCCGACUCCUACGGGAGGCAGCAGUAAGGAAUAUUGGUCAAUGGAC